ACAGGCACGUUAGCAAUUUGUUCAGUCGCUGUUAUUACUCUAUUGAUGUCUGCCACUGAAGAGGGUAUUGCAGCAGGCGUCUCGUUGUUGGGCUGGCCAACAUUUAGAGCCGUUGUUGACUCUGAGAUAGCUCCUGUUUUGAACUUAGGUUUUGGUUUAGCAUGGAUACCCGUGUAAGCCUGCACACAAGUCCAGAAGAUUUCGACUUAAAAACAGAAUGCUCAAUAGAGAUUUUGACAGAAUAUGAGACUCAAAGUAGAUGGACUCACCGAGCAUGCCUAGCGUACUCUUCAUAGUUCUCAAGUAGCAUCUUUCCAGCCUGUUCGUUUAAUGCAGAUUCUGGAAAUGGCUCGAUUAGUAAGCACCUCACAACCUGUUACCAUGUACAAACACACACAAAGAAAAGCUCACUCUCUCAAGUAUUAAGUAAUCUGAUCAAAGAAAUGAAAACACACAAGGGUGAAGGAUCUUACAGGGAGAACAUGUCUCAAUCCAAGACUAGGGUUCCAAUCUUUCUUAAGCGUGUUAACGCAAAUCAAGAAAAACUUGGUGUGCACAUAUUUACAUUUCAUAUAUUAUUGUGAAACUUGUCUUGUCUGUGUUUGCUAAUAUAAGAGAAAAUCAUAAUAUAUAUUUUUACGAAAGAUUGGAAUGACCAUAAGAAUAUAUUAUAAUAAAUAUAUUGGACAUUAUUUUCUUGAUAUAUUACAAAAGUAAUAGUUAAUUAAAAAAACACAUUAAACUACCAUAAUAAAUGUAUCGAUUUCUGUAAUUUUCAAUUUUCAAUAACAUUUAACCAAUAAUAAUUUAAUAAAGUCAAUUAAUUUUCUUGAAGUUUACAAUUUUUUUAUAGAAAACUAAAAAAAUACAUCUUUUUGAAACGAACGUUUUUCCUAGAAAGUCUAUUAUUAAGGAACGGAGGGAGUAGUUGUUAUCUAGCCAUGAAGGCAUUUAAUGUAAACACACAAAUUUACAAAACAAUUAAUAUAAAUAACUGAAUAAAGUAAAUAUAUUUAGCUGAAUUAUUCAGACUAAGAUUAUUCAAAACAUUUAGUCCAUAAUAACAAUUUUAAUUUAUAUAUAUUACAUUUUGAAAAAUCUGUUUCAAUAUACAAAUUAUAUCUUGACAAGGCAAUCUGAAAGAAAAUAAAACUUUCACACUAAUAUUCAUAUGCUUAGGUAAAUGAAUCAUGCACUUUUAUAUUAUUUUGACUAUAAUCUGAGAAAAUCAUUGAAAGAUUUUCUUUACAAAAAUAUAACUAAUGCAAGUUUAUGUUUAUAUGUAGAUUGAUAUGCUUAGGUAAAUGAAUCAUGCACUUUUAUAUUAUUUUAACUAUAAUCUCAGAAAAUUAAUUUAAAGAUUUUCUUUACAAAAAAUAUAACUAAUGCAAGUUUAUGUUUAUAUUCUUAGGUAAAUGAAUCAUGCACUUUUAUAUUGUUUUGACUAUAAUCUCAAAAAAUGAAUUAAAAAGUUUUUUUAUUUAUGUGAAAAUGUUAUAAAUAUCAUUUAAACGUAUAUAUAUAUAUAUAUAUAUAUAUCAAUCUAAAAUAUAAUAGAACUCUCAAACAAUUUAUAAAACAUCCUACAAAAUGAGUAUCUCCGAAAAAUGUAUAUUAAUCGCAUUUGUUUUCACUCUUUUCUUCGCGAUGUCAAUUGUUAGCUGCACCGAUAUUGUUUCAGGUACUACAUUAAAAUUUAAUUUUUAGUUAUGCUAAAGUCUUCAUUCCUGCAUAAUUUUAAUAUUUUAUUAUUUCUUACUAUUCGAAUAGAUUUCGGAGUAAAGAAAGCAUAUAAUCUAUGCUAUGGUCCAUGUGACGACAAAGGAGUGUGUGAGCCGUUUUGUUAUACCAAAAAGGGUCCGAUAAGGGGAGACUGUGUUGGUGGCACUUGUUGUUGUGCUGAACAUUAAAUAAAAUAUUAAAUAAUAUCAUUAGAUAUUAUAUCUUGUAUGAAAUGAAAUAAUACUACCAAUAAUACAUAAAAUGCUUUUACAAAAAAAAUAUAUAAAAUGUUAUUAAAUUGAAGUUACUUUGAUUAACCUCGAGAAAACAUUAGUCAAAGUUGCAUGUCUUUUCUAAAAAAACAUUAAUAAAAUAAUAGUAUAUAUUAAUAAUGUAAACAUCCAGCAUGACAUAGAACUUUAAAAUAUGGAAGGGAAAACACGUGAAGAACAAUUAACGUUACAUAUAUAUCUCAUGCAACAAUAAAUGAAGUGAAAAAGCAAACUAAUAAAAAAUCGGUAAAUGUAAUUAAGUGAAAAGUAAAAAUAUUCAUUUAAAAAUAAAAUAUUAAUUUUUCAUUUUUACAUAUAUUCAUUUAAAAAAAGGAAACUAAUAAGUAAAUGUAAAUGUAACUAAGUGAAAAAUAAAAAUAUUCAUUUAAAAAUAAAAUAUUAUUUUUUCCUUUGCAUAUAUAUAUUCAUUUUUUUCUUUUACCAAAAUAAAUAUUCAUUUUUUAAACAUAUAAAUAAAUCCUAUGAACGGAGACGUCUCAUAAACCCUACAUAGUAGAAGCUCUGCAGAUGCAUUCAGUCCAUGUUGUCAUUCAGCUUCUAUUGGGCCGAAUUUCUGUCACCAUUCUUAUAUACUCUAUUCUUCAUUUUGAUAUCUUUUUUUUUUUUGAAACUAUUCAUUUUGAUAUCUUUUGAGUCAACAUAAUAAAUCACGAGAAUAAACCUCUCUAACACGAGAUUCCACUUCGACAAUACAUAUCUCCACAACCUUAAGCAAAAGAACAACAUAGUACAUAUGUUAAAUUCACAUUUGGGUAAGAAAUUGAUAGGUUUCGCCGAUGGAUCAUGUCUUCAUCGUUAAUCUAGCUGUUGCGACUAGGCAUUUACUUGGAUGAAUUUAUGUGAUAAAUCAUGUUCCAAGUAGUUAAAAACUUUUUAUUCUUAUUUCAGGUAUUAAAAUUGAAAUUUGUUAUAAGUUCAGGUAUCGGUCGCAUCAUUUGUUUCGUUUAAACUAAAAUUAUUCAGUUACGAACUGUUUCAUGUCACCAUUUUACGGACAUGAUGACGGUUGUAUGUAUUUAAAAGUCUUUUAUUCUAAGUUGAUGUAUUAAAUUUAAAUUCGUUAUUAGUCUAAAUAUCAGAUCACACAAUCAAAUAGUUUAUAUAUUGAUUAGGCGAUAUGGCCUAGUUCGUGCACUAGCUCGCCAUUUUGCCUAGUUUCAUGUCUUGAUUGAAUUAUUACAACUAUUCUUAUGGAUUUGAGUGAGUAGAUCUAGAGAAACAUGAUGUAAAUAAAGUUUAUUAAGGUUUAAUGAUAUUAUAGGUGUUGAUAAUCAAUGGACAUAUAUACGUGAGAGAGAUUUCAUGAAGUCGAAAGAAAAUAAAAAAUUGUAAGAUGACAAGAAUAAUAUAUAUAAGUUUACAGAAAAAAAGAAUGAUAUAUAUAUAUAUAUAUAUAUAUGUGGAAGGAAAAACACAUGAAGAACAUGCAAAAUUAACGUUACAUAUAUAUGUCUCAUGCAAAAAUAAAUGAAGUGAAAAAAGAAAACUAAUAAGUGAAUGUAAAUGUAAUUAAGUGAAAAUAUUCAUUUUUUCUAGACAUAUAAAUAAACCGUACGACGGAGACGUCUCAUAAACAUAGUAGAAUAGGAGGCGGAUGAAGCAUUAGCUUCACGGCCAAUUACAAUAAAUAUUAUUUUGGGGCAAAAUUAUGUGAAAGGUGUCAUUGGUUCAGUGGUUGAGUAUGCUGCUCUAAACUGAUCACGUCACCAGUUUGAGAUAGUUUAGCACUGUUUUUAUCAGUUAUUUUAGGUUAAAUAUUUUAUACUAAAACAAAGGGGAAAUCACAUUUUAAACAUUGAGAGUGUCAUUUUCUAACACUUUAAACACUGAAGUUAUUUUACAAGCAUUUUAAACCUUUAAAGUGACAUUUUUAUCAUAAUAAACCUUCAAAGACGUUUUCCUGUUCAUAGACGACCAGUACUGUUUAUUUUACCAGUAUAUAGAAAAUAAAGUUUGGAACCUUUGUUGUCUCCGUUUCUCUAGAGAAUAGCGAUUUUAUAGUGGUUAGUUAUAUAGAGCAUUUACCGAUUUUAUAUUCGUAGGGGUUAAUACAUAGAUUUUGAGAAGAAAAAUCAAAAAUAUGAUAAUACUAUUUUAAUGCAUAGUUGGAUCAUGCACUAACAUAUGAUGAAUGUCAAAGAGUUUUGGAACCUUUAUUGUCUCCGUUUCUCUAGAGAAUAGCGAUUUUAUAGUGGAUACUCCACUAAUUUUGGGUGUAUUGUGAAAAUAAGGUUUGCAUCAUGCGAAAAUAAGGUUUGGAACCUUUGUUUAGAAAUUUUAAAACAACACUAAAGAUCAUAGGCUUCAGUGUAUAAAGCAUUUAUCGAAAAACUCAAUAUUUUCGUAGGAGUUAACACAUAGAUUUUGAAAAAAAAAUCAAAAAUAUGACAAUACUGUUUUAAUGCAUGGUUGCAUCAUGCACUAACAUAUGAUGAAGUUCAAAGAGGUUUGAGAUCUUUGUUAUCUCCGUUUCUCUAGAGAAUAACGAUUUUAUAGUGGUUAGUCCACUAAUUUAGGGAGUAUUGUGAAGUUUUACUAAAUUAAUUGAUAAAAAUUAAAAUGAUGUCCAUGUACCAUGAAAUAUAGUUUAAUAUACAUUAAUACAAAUGUAGAAUGUGUUGAAGAAUCGGCUCCAAAAAAGGCAAGUGGAGAUGUUGAAGAAUCUGGCUGAUCCAGUGAGGUUUAGUGCAUGGUAUCAACACUCCAAAUGGUCUUAGAUGUAAUGAAUGUCUCCUGGUUUCCUCACGUGAGUUUGAGUUGCACACUCCUUAAGCAAAGAAUUACUUUCCUUAAAUGGAACCAGUUCGGAUGCAAUGUAGAUAGUCUGACUUGUAAAUGGCAUAUCUCCUAAACCAUUACUCCUUUUGGUAUAAAACCAAUUCGCCGUGUGCUCUUGUUGAGUGUAGAAUCCAGGAAAACCGGUUUCAUUGAUAAAUUCCUCCUGGUUUAUAAGAUAUAGCGUUUUGAUUGCACAUAUGUCCUGGUUGGCUUCUUAGCUUUCCUCAGCUUCAUGUUCUUCACUGAUUUACUCCUGGUUCCUUUCUCCUUUUCUGAUGAUGACUUGAGGUCCUCAUCAAUUUAAUAUACAAUUAGUUGAGUAAGUUUGAUGGCCACACAGGUUAUGAUGUUUGAUGAAAGAGGAGAUUAGUAGAAGUGGCUGCAUAUAAUAUAUGGAUUUGUUUUCUAUUUUUAGAAAUUUCUAAGUGUCACUCCAACUUUGAUAGGAAAAGAGUUGAGCAAAAAGGGGGCAGAGUCAUGAUGACAUGACAGAAGAAUCCAAACAUUAUGAGAUGGAGAUAAGAUAAAUGACACUAAUUGAGAAGUAUCAUCAUAGUCUCUUCAAGCUCUUCUUUCUGGCAUCUACCUUCUUCUUGUCUGCCUGAACCUUGGCCAAACCGGCUUCUCUUUUCUGUGUCGUAGUGGCCACACUUGCAGAUCCUGCUGCUGCUGCUACAGGCACGUUAGCAAUUUGUUCAGUCGCUGUUAUUACUCUAUUGAUGUCUGCCACUGAAGAGGGUAUUGCAGCAGGCGUCUCGUUGUUGGGCUGGCCAACAUUUAGAGCCGUUGUUGACUCUGAGAUAGCUCCUGUUUUGAACUUAGGUUUUGGUUUAGCAUGGAUACCCGUGUAAAGCCUGCACAAAAGUCCAGAAGAUUUCGACUUAAAAACAGAAUGCUCAAAAGAGAUUUUGACAGAAUAUGAGACUCAAAGUAGAUGGACUCACCGAGCAUGCCUAGCGUACUCUUCAUAGUUCUCAAGUAGCAUCUUUCCAGCCUGUUCGUUUAAUG
RNAcentral lists this long non-coding RNA (5801 nucleotides) under Brassica napus (rape). RNAcentral describes it as "long non-coding RNA (BNAP_LNC008975)". Lineage: Eukaryota; Viridiplantae; Streptophyta; Magnoliopsida; Brassicales; Brassicaceae. The record is from RNAcentral.